UUCAAUCAGAUUGAUUUGUCC
Non-coding RNA from Caenorhabditis elegans, 21 nucleotides. Lineage: Eukaryota; Metazoa; Nematoda; Chromadorea; Rhabditida; Rhabditidae. The record is from Ensembl.